Molecule: transfer RNA, 72 nt
Filed under: Perkinsela sp. CCAP 1560/4
Lineage: Eukaryota; Euglenozoa; Kinetoplastea; Prokinetoplastida; Perkinselidae
Rfam family: tRNA
About the family: Transfer RNA (tRNA) molecules are approximately 80 nucleotides in length. Their secondary structure includes four short double-helical elements and three loops (D, anti-codon, and T loops).
Source: Rfam by way of RNAcentral
GCGCACAUGGUCUAACGGUUAGGAUCCAUGCCUUCCAAGCAUGUGGCCCGGGUUCGACUCCCGGUGUGCGCA